This 30-nucleotide non-coding RNA is filed under the name Rattus norvegicus (Norway rat). The record is from RNAcentral. Lineage: Eukaryota; Metazoa; Chordata; Mammalia; Rodentia; Muridae.
UGCGUCCAGUGUGGCACUAUAACGUGGUGU